Molecule: ribosomal RNA, 253 nt
Filed under: uncultured bacterium
Lineage: Bacteria
Description: partial 16S ribosomal RNA
Rfam family: Bacterial small subunit ribosomal RNA
Source: RNAcentral
GACAGAGGGUGCGAACGUUGUUCGGAAUUACUGGGCGUGAAGCGCAUGUAGGCGGCAGCGCAAGUCGGGCGUGAAAUCCCACGGCUCAACCGUGGAAGUGCACUCGAAACUGCGCAGCUAGAGUCCUGGAGAGGAAGGUGGAAUGCUUGGUGUAGAGGUGAAAUGCGUAGAUAUCGGGAGGAACACCUGUGGCGAAAGCGGCUCACUGGACCACAACUGACGCUGAGGCGCGAAAGCUAGGGGAGCAAACAGG